UGGGGAAUAUUGCACAAUGGGCGCAAGCCUGAUGCAGCCAUGCCGCGUGUGUGAAGAAGGCCUUCGGGUUGUAAAGCACUUUCAGCGAGGAGGAAGGUGGUGAGCUUAAUACGCUCAUCAAUUGACGUUACUCGCAGAAGAAGCACCGGCUAACUCCGUGCCAGCAGCCGCGGUAAUACGGAGGGUGCAAGCGUUAAUCGGAAUUACUGGGCGUAAAGCGCACGCAGGCGGUUUGUUAAGUCAGAUGUGAAAUCCCCGGGCUCAACCUGGGAACUGCAUUUGAAACUGGCAAGCUAGAGUCUCGUAGAGGGGGGUAGAAUUCCAGGUGUAGCGGUGAAAUGCGUAGAGAUCUGGAGGAAUACCGGUGGCGAAGGCGGCCCCCCGGACGAAGACUGACGCUCAGGUGCGAAAGCGUGGGGCAGCAAACAGGAUUAGAUACCCUGGUAGUCCACGCUGUAAAACGAUGUCGAUUUUGGAGGUUGUGCCCUUGAGGCGUGGCUUCCGGAGCUAACGCGUUAAAUCGACCGCCUGGGGAGUACGGCCGCAAGGUUAAAACUUAAAUGAAUUGAC
Molecule: ribosomal RNA, 570 nt
Filed under: uncultured bacterium
Lineage: Bacteria
Description: partial 16S ribosomal RNA
Rfam family: Bacterial small subunit ribosomal RNA
Source: RNAcentral